UGCGUAGGGCGCAAGCGUUGUCCGGAAUUAUUGGGCGUAAAGAGCUCGUAGGCGGCCUGUUGCGUCCGCUGUGAAAUCCCGGGGCUCAACCCCGGGCCUGCAGUGGAUACGGGCUGGCUAGAGGCAGGCAGGGGAGAACGGAAUUCCUGGUGUAGCGGUGAAAUGCGCAGAUAUCAGGAGGAACACCGGUGGCGAAGGCGGUUCUCUGGGCCUGUACUGACGCUGAGGAGCGAAAGCGUGGGGAGCGAACAGG
This 253-nucleotide ribosomal RNA is filed under the name uncultured bacterium. RNAcentral's name for it is "partial 16S ribosomal RNA". It matches the Rfam family "Bacterial small subunit ribosomal RNA", at positions 524 to 776 of the family's 1533-position model. The record is from RNAcentral.